CGGCGGACGGGUGAGUAACGCGUGGGUAACCUACCCCAAAGUCCGGGAUAACAGCGGGAAACCGCUGCUAAUACCGGAUGCCUUUACCUUGGGGCAUCUUGAGGUAAAGAAAGGUAACGCUUUGGGAUGGGCCCGCGUCCCAUUAGCUAGUUGGUGAGGUAACGGCUCACCAAGGCGACGAUGGGUAGCCGGCCUGAGAGGGUGGACGGCCACACUGGGACUGAGACACGGCCCAGACUCCUACGGGAGGCAGCAGUAGGGAAUAUUGCGCAAUGGACGGAAGUCUGACGCAGCGACGCCGCGUGAGCGAUGAAGGUCUUCGGAUCGUAAAGCUCUGUCCUUGGGGAAGAAGGUCUUCGGACUUGACGGUACCCAAGAAGAAAGCCCCGGCUAACUACGUGCCAGCAGCCGCGGUAAUACGUAGGGGGCGAGCGUUGUCCGGAAUUACUGGGCGUA
Molecule: ribosomal RNA, 456 nt
Filed under: uncultured bacterium
Lineage: Bacteria
Description: bacterial SSU rRNA
Rfam family: Bacterial small subunit ribosomal RNA
Source: RNAcentral